This 103-nucleotide non-coding RNA is filed under the name human gut metagenome. The record is from RNAcentral.
ACCGCUAGGGGAGCACAUCGCUGAGAUUGAAUCAUGGUGCAAAUCAUAAUUCUAACCCUUACUACUUGAACCGGAUAAUACCGGCGGAAGGAAGCAGGAAUUU